RNAcentral lists this long non-coding RNA (212 nucleotides) under Elaeis guineensis (African oil palm). RNAcentral describes it as "long non-coding RNA (EGUI_LNC004439)". Lineage: Eukaryota; Viridiplantae; Streptophyta; Magnoliopsida; Arecales; Arecaceae. The record is from RNAcentral.
CUCUUUUGUUUACUCUUCAUUAUAAUGGGACUCUAUACUUACUCCAUUAUUUAUUGUCAUAAAUGUCUUUUCCUCUUUCUUGUCAGGAAAGAAAGAGUUUCUUGAAGAAAGUCCCAUACGUGAUCUGUGAGUUCGUAAACGGCAUUAAACCUAGUUGCUCAAGUGCUUCUUUAUCCACGACCAUAAAUCAAAUGGAUUGGUCAAUGUCCCCC